This 451-nucleotide ribosomal RNA is filed under the name uncultured bacterium. RNAcentral describes it as "partial 16S ribosomal RNA". It matches the Rfam family "Bacterial small subunit ribosomal RNA", at positions 354 to 796 of the family's 1533-position model. The record is from RNAcentral.
GUGGGGAAUAUUGGACAAUGGGGGGAACCCUGAUCCAGCCAUGCCGCGUGUGUGAAGAAGGCCUUUUGGUUGUAAAGCACUUUAAGCGAGGAGGAGGCUACCGAGAUUAAUACUCUUGGAUAGUGGACGUUACUCGCAGAAUAAGCACCGGCUAACUCUGUGCCAGCAGCCGCGGUAAUACAGAGGGUGCAAGCGUUAAUCGGAUUUACUGGGCGUAAAGCGCGCGUAGGUGGCCAAUUAAGUCAAAUGUGAAAUCCCCGAGCUUAACUUGGGAAUUGCAUUGGAUACUGGGUGGCUAGGGUAUGGGAGAGGAUGGUAGAAUUCCAGGUGUAGCGGUGAAAUGCGUAGAGAUCUGGAGGAAUACCGAUGGCGAAGGCAGCCAUCUGGCCUAAUACUGACACUGAGGUGCGAAAGCAUGGGGAGCAAACAGGAUUAGAAACCCGGGUAGUCC